RNAcentral lists this unclassified non-coding RNA (244 nucleotides) under plant metagenome. RNAcentral describes it as "partial contains small subunit ribosomal RNA, internal transcribed spacer 1, and 5.8S ribosomal RNA". The record is from RNAcentral.
UUUCCGUAGGUGAACCUGCGGAAGGAUCAUUACCACACCAAAAAACAAACCCCACGUGAAUUAAUACUGUCAAGUUUUGUGCCCAUUCGCCUUUAUUGGCGUCUAAGGGCUGAACGAAGGCCGCAAGGCCGAUGUAUCUAUUUUAAACCCUUUUUUUAUUGUGAUUUGAGAAAAACAUUGCAGAAAUGAAAAUUUUUGCUCUUAAUUUCAAAUACAACUUUCAACAGUGGAUGUCUAGGCUCGC